This 462-nucleotide ribosomal RNA is filed under the name uncultured Bifidobacterium sp. RNAcentral's name for it is "bacterial SSU rRNA". It matches the Rfam family "Bacterial small subunit ribosomal RNA", at positions 173 to 640 of the family's 1533-position model. The record is from RNAcentral. Lineage: Bacteria; Bacillati; Actinomycetota; Actinomycetes; Bifidobacteriales; Bifidobacteriaceae.
CUCCGCUCCAUCGCAUGGUGGGGUGGGAAAUGCUUUUGCGGCAUGGGAUGGGGUCGCGUCCUAUCAGCUUGUUGGCGGGGUGAUGGCCCACCAAGGCGUUGACGGGUAGCCGGCCUGAGAGGGUGACCGGCCACAUUGGGACUGAGAUACGGCCCAGACUCCUACGGGAGGCAGCGGUGGGGAAUAUUGCACAAUGGGCGCAAGCCUGAUGCAGCGACGCCGCGUGCGGGAUGGAGGCCUUCGGGUUGUAAACCGCUUUUGUUCAAGGGCAAGGCACGGUUUCGGCCGUGUUGAGUGGAUUGUUCGAAUAAGCACCGGCUAACUACGUGCCAGCAGCCGCGGUAAUACGUAGGGUGCGAGCGUUAUCCGGAUUUAUUGGGCGUAAAGGGCUCGUAGGCGGUUCGUCGCGUCCGGUGUGAAAGUCCAUCGCCUAACGGUGGAUCUGCGCCGGGUACGGGCGGG